CAAGACUGUUCUAUGAAUUAACCCAAAUUUAAAUUUAUUAAAAUGAAGUGUACAGAGAAGCCUAGUAUACACCCACUUUAUGCUUUGGGAGCAAAUCUAAUGCAGGCUAGCACACAAGGCCUGAAACAAUUUUCAUGCUUUUCGGGAUCAGCUGAAGAUAGCAAAAGCUUUAAAAUACUAAAAGCCCUGUUAAACAAA
This is a long non-coding RNA of Zophobas morio, 198 nucleotides long. RefSeq lists it as uncharacterized. The transcript is spliced from 3 exons. The record is from RefSeq and is a predicted model, not a curated record. NCBI's taxonomy places the organism in Eukaryota, Metazoa, Arthropoda, Insecta, Coleoptera, Tenebrionidae.